GAAAUGCGAUAGCUAGUGUGAAUUGCAGAGUUUAGUGAAUCAUCGAGUCUUUGAACGCACAUUGCGCCUACUGGCAUUCCGGCAGGCAUGCCUGUUCGAGCGUUAUUUGUUCCCUCGGGCCCAGCCCGGCGUUGGGAGGCCGCAGCCCUAACUGCGCCCCCUAAAACUUAGCGGCGGUACGCCCUAGCGCCCCCUACGAAGUAGCUCUACUCGUACCGGGACUAUAGCGUUCCUGCCACCUAGAGCCCUAGCGGUAUAGCGAAGUUGACCUCGAAUCAGGUAGGAAUACCCGCUGAACUUAA
Molecule: unclassified non-coding RNA, 302 nt
Filed under: uncultured fungus
Lineage: Eukaryota; Fungi
Description: sequence contains ITS1
Rfam family: 5.8S ribosomal RNA (bases 1-105)
Source: RNAcentral